This 998-nucleotide unclassified non-coding RNA is filed under the name Hevea brasiliensis (rubber tree). Lineage: Eukaryota; Viridiplantae; Streptophyta; Magnoliopsida; Malpighiales; Euphorbiaceae. The record is from RNAcentral.
GGAGAUGUAUUUAAGUAAGGUAUGUGUGCAUGAGUGUCUAUCAAACACCAACUCAAAAGAAAGUUCAUUAAAUUUGGGGUAAAAUCUAAGUUAACCAAGAUAAGCACAGAUUAUUUGAAAAUAUUUUUGCAUGAAGUUAAAAAAAAAAAAAAAAGAGCACUAGUAAAGGAGCCUGAAUUGUUAGGAAAUCUCAUCAUCAAGGUGCCAUUUUGUAAAAACUCCAUGCCAUGCACGCAUCAACAUUUGUAAAGAUUAGUCAACCAUAAAUAUCAUAUCCAUCAAAUCCUAUAAAAGCUAUCAAAUUCAUUAAGAUAAAACCAAAAGUAGUAGAUAUUUCCAUCUUUCACAGGGACAUAAUCUUAUCAUCAUCAUCAUCAUCAUUUUGUUGGGGGAAAAUAAGUAUAUCUUCUUGGCAUUAGAUGAAGCCAAUCUUUGAUUGGAUUGAAAAUUGUUGAGAAGUUGCAUAAUCCCAUUUAGGUGACUAUAGAGAAGAAAUUGCAACCUACUUAGUGAAGGAGUUCACAACACAAAUACCUUGUAUUUUCCCCAACAAAAUGAUCUUUACUCUCUCAUAUUUUCCCUAUAAGGUGUUUUCAAUGAGGCAUAUUUUCCUUAAUUGAAAACAUAACAAGGUAUUUUCAAUACCUUAUAUUUUCCUUAAACUAAGCUACUUAAAUCAAGCUUGUUCAUUACUAAUACCUUGUCCAGAUCUAUACUCCAACCAACUUAGUGAAGGAGCUCACAACACAAAUGCCUUAUAUUCUCUAAUAUAUCAUCAUGUCUGAACCAUUGAUCAUUGCAUUAUCUAGUACAAAUUCAUUUCUUAUAUAAUGUUUGCAAUUGAAUUGAAACUUAGUUUCAUCUAUAGGAAACGCAUUGCCAAUCGUGAAUGCUAAUCAUGCCCACAACAAACCAUCACUAAUUUUGACCCAAAAUUUGUAUAUUAAAAUUUAUAGGCUGCAAGUAGAAUAAUAAAGAAUUGGGGAACUUACCUCCUU